RNAcentral lists this ribosomal RNA (379 nucleotides) under uncultured eukaryote. RNAcentral's name for it is "partial 18S ribosomal RNA". It matches the Rfam family "Eukaryotic small subunit ribosomal RNA", at positions 592 to 975 of the family's 1831-position model. The record is from RNAcentral.
CAAUAGCGUAUAUUAAAGUUGUUGCGGUUAAAAAGCUCGUAGUUGGAUUUCUGCCGAGGACGACCGGUCCGCCCUCUGGGUGAGUAUCUGGCUCGGCCUGGGCAUCUUCUUGGAGAACGUAGCUGCACUUGACUGUGUGGUGCGGUAUCCAGGACUUUUACUUUGAGGAAAUUAGAGUGUUUCAAGCAGGCUUACGCCUUGAAUACAUUAGCAUGGAAUAAUAAGAUAGGACCUCGGUUCUAUUUUGUUGGUUUCUAGAGCUGAGGUAAUGAUUAAUAGGGAUAGUUGGGGGCAUUCGUAUUUAACUGUCAGAGGUGAAAUUCUUGGAUUAACGGAAGAUGAACUUCUGCGAAAGCAUCUGCCAAGGAUGUUUUCAUUG